RNAcentral lists this long non-coding RNA (781 nucleotides) under Elaeis guineensis (African oil palm). Its description in RNAcentral is "long non-coding RNA (EGUI_LNC020598)". The record is from RNAcentral. Lineage: Eukaryota; Viridiplantae; Streptophyta; Magnoliopsida; Arecales; Arecaceae.
GGGGUUACCCAAAUGUUUUAAGUGUGUGACAAAUUGAGUUGGCAUGUCGGUUGGAUUUUGUUACUGCAGAAGGUAAGAAUCUCUAAUCACAACCACCUACAUUGAUUAUAAAUAUUUGGUAUCAUAUGCUAGAAGUUAUAACAUUGUAAGCUUGCAUGUAUUGUAAGCUUUGAUUCAUUGUGAUUCUAAAUUAUGUCAAUUAUAAAAGUAUAAGUAUAUAUAAAUAAUUUAUAAAGUGAUAAUGAUAAUAAAAUUAAAAAAAUAAUUUAAUGAUUUAAAAUUAAAAUAUUUAGACUAAUCAAAAUUUCGGAACGACAUCGCUACAAAUAGGAAUAUGGUACUUCUUUCAGUAUGGCCUCACCAUGGGUAGAAACAUGAUACUUCUUUCAGUAUGGUCUCGCCACAGAUAGGAAUGUAACAUUUUUAUCAGUAUGACCUCACCACGGAGAGGAACGUGAUAUUUGAGUAUGGCUAGUCAUGGACAGAAGCGUGACCAUGAAUAAUUCAAAUACUGAAAAUUCAGAUCCGAUCCACUUUACACAUAUUAUAAUAAUAUAAUGAAUGAGAAUAGUAGCUUGGUAAUAAUAUUAACCGAAAUAAUAGCAGUUCAAAAUGACAUCUUAAUCAAAUAAAAUUUUUGAUCUAGUUAGAUAAGAUAAGCAUAUCAGAAUUGCUAUUAAUGGAGUAUAGCAUACAUCUAAAUUGUUAUAUAUUGAAACUUGAUGAACAUCCUGAUAGUAUUAUUGAGUUGGACUUAUGAAUAUUUAAUUGUUAAUUGUUG